Molecule: ribosomal RNA, 451 nt
Filed under: uncultured soil bacterium
Lineage: Bacteria
Description: bacterial SSU rRNA
Rfam family: Bacterial small subunit ribosomal RNA
Source: RNAcentral
GGAAUUCGAUUAACGCGAAGAACCUUACCCAGGCUUGAACUGCAGAGGACACUCUACGAAAGUAGACUUCCGCAAGGACCUCCGUAGAGGUGCUGCAUGGCUGUCGUCAGCUCGUGUCGUGAGAUGUUGGGUUAAGUCCCGCAACGAGCGCAACCCUUGUCUUCUGUUGCCAUCGGGUUAUGCCGGGCACUCUGAAGAGACUGCCGGUGACAAACCGGAGGAAGGUGGGGAUGACGUCAAGUCAGCAUGGCCUUUAUGUCUGGGGCCACACACGUGCUACAAUGGCCGGUACAAACCGUCGCGAGCCCGCAAGGGGGAGCUAAUCGGAGAAAGCCGGUCUCAGUUCGGAUUGUAGGCUGCAACUCGCCUGCAUGAAGUUGGAAUCGCUAGUAAUCGCGGAUCAGCACGCCGCGGUGAAUACGUUCCCGGGCCUUGUCACACCGAAUCACUA